ACGACGUCAAGUCAUCAUCGGCCCUUAUGUCCGUGGGCUACACACGUGCUACAAUGGCCGGUACAGAGUGAAGCGAAACCGCGAGGUGAAGACAAAACGCAGAAAGCCGGUCUCAGUACGGAUUGGAGUCUGAAACUCGACUUCAUGAAGUUGGAAUCGCUAGUAAUCGCGCAUCAGCAUGGCGCGGUGAAUACGUUCCCGGGCCUU
This 207-nucleotide ribosomal RNA is filed under the name uncultured Spirochaeta sp. Its description in RNAcentral is "partial 16S ribosomal RNA". It matches the Rfam family "Bacterial small subunit ribosomal RNA", at positions 1179 to 1382 of the family's 1533-position model. Lineage: Bacteria; Pseudomonadati; Spirochaetota; Spirochaetia; Spirochaetales; Spirochaetaceae. The record is from RNAcentral.